Molecule: unclassified non-coding RNA, 335 nt
Filed under: soil metagenome
Description: partial contains 5.8S ribosomal RNA, internal transcribed spacer 2, and large subunit ribosomal RNA
Rfam family: 5.8S ribosomal RNA (bases 1-119)
Source: RNAcentral
GAUGAAGAAGCAGCGAAAUGCGAUAAGUAGUGUGAAUUGCAGAAUUCAGUGAAUCAUCGAAUCUUUGAACGCACAUUGCGCCCCUUGGUAUUCCAUGGGGCAUGCCUGUUCGAGCGUCAUUUGUACCUUCAAGCUUUGCUUGGUGUUGGGUGUUUGUCUCGCCUUUGCGUGUAGACUCGCCUUAAAAUAAUUGGCAGCCGGCGUAUUGAUUUCGGAGCGCAGUACAUCUCGCGCUUUGCACUCAUAACGACAGCGUCCAAAAGUACAUUUUACACUCUUGACCUCGGAUUAGGUAGGGAUACCCGCUGAACUUAAGCAUAUCAAUAAGCGGAGGA